UCGGACGUGGUGCACGGUGCGCACCCGCUCUCCUUGAAAGUCGAAAUACGGAGUAAGUGGGAGCCCUGGGUUCGACUCCCAGCGUCCGAA
This is a non-coding RNA of Mycena vulgaris, 90 nucleotides long. NCBI's taxonomy places the organism in Eukaryota, Fungi, Basidiomycota, Agaricomycetes, Agaricales, Mycenaceae. The record is from the annotation of a GenBank genome assembly.